RNAcentral lists this ribosomal RNA (312 nucleotides) under Triticum aestivum (bread wheat). RNAcentral's name for it is "partial small subunit ribosomal RNA". The record is from RNAcentral. Lineage: Eukaryota; Viridiplantae; Streptophyta; Magnoliopsida; Poales; Poaceae.
CUCUUUUUUCGCUGGCCCUUCGCCAGGGUUUGCUGGUCCUACCUUUGUCCCAACUGGGCGCCCCUAUAUCACGCCAUACAAAUGGAUAUCAAUGAUAUGAAAACUCAGAUUGGCUUGCCUUUUUCUUUGGAGGUCAUCAUCCUUGCUUCCUGGGCCAUCUGAACUACCUGAAAUGGUUGGAUUUUCAGAGGGAUCCCUCCAAGCCUAUACACUUGCACAAGAAAAUUCAAGAAUCAGCUUGAGUGGCUAGUCCACCGGGCCACGAGAAAAACAAUUUCCAACCUUGAAGCCUGGGUUGAUGCUCUUGUUUAG